This 530-nucleotide ribosomal RNA is filed under the name Blastocystis sp. subtype 2. RNAcentral describes it as "bacterial SSU rRNA". It matches the Rfam family "Eukaryotic small subunit ribosomal RNA", at positions 695 to 1225 of the family's 1831-position model. Lineage: Eukaryota; Bigyra; Opalinata; Blastocystidae. The record is from RNAcentral.
ACCCCCCUCCAAUCGGUGUAGUGGGGUAUUCAGUUAUUCUACUACUCCUUUGGUCGUUUACUGUGAGAAAAUUAGAGUGUUCAAAGCGGGCGUUUGUUUGAAUAGAUUAGCAUGGAAUAAUGAUUGAAGGCUUUCGUGUUCGAUUUGAUUGGUUUGUUCAUGGAAGCAAGGUUAAAAGGAACAGUUGGGGGUAUUCAUAUUCACUAGUUAGAGGUGAAAUUCUCGGAUUUAUGGAAGAUGAACAGGUGCGAAAGCAUUUACCAAGGAUGUUUUCAUUAAUCAAGAACGAAAGCUAGGGGAUCGAAGAGGAUUAGAUACCCUCGUAGUCUUAGCUAUAAACGAUACCGACUAGGGGUUAGUAGAGGUCAAUGUGUCUCUAUUAGUACCUUAUGAGAAAUCAAAGUCUUUGGGUUCCGGGGGGAGUAUGGUCGCAAGGCUGAAACUUAAAGGAAUUGACGGAAGGGCACCACCAGGGAGUGGGAGCCUGCGGGCUUAAUUUGACUCCAACCACGGGGAAACUUACCAGGUCA